UCCAAAACCAUUUGCGGAAGCCAAUUUCACCUGUGGCAAUCUGAUAAGCAUAGACUGCGUCUUGUCCCCUAUGUUUGACUUAUAGCCGACCCGGUAUAGUGGCUGAAGCGAGCGGUGUUCCAAGGAUGGCUUUGCUACUUUCGCUGGGUUCCAUGCCACUUCAACCCGCCACAGAGCGCUGCCCGAACCCGCCAACGCCAUAAUAGUAAUAAUAGCAUACGUUUCCUCGUUGUAGAUCAGUGUUAUGCCACGUGAAGGGAGCAAGAACCACGCGUGAGGUUGAAUAUCUCUGAAAAAAGUAUGCAUGUUGCUAAAAAAAAAAGGAACCCCCGAAGUUUAAUAUUGUAUAUUGUAUGGUAGAAGGGGUAACUAACUAAUUCGAAAAAAAAAAAAAACGAGAGAUACGAUACUAAACAAUCCAAGUUGAGAAAAAGGAAACGAAAUAUCAAAUAUCAAAUAUCAGAUAUGGAAAUGAUGAUGGAGAUGGAGAUGGAGAUCCAAGGAUGAGAAGAAUUUUAUCUGGGGCAGAACUUGUAGAGGCAGAACUCUCAACCAACGACGGCAUGGUCCGGGACCCCUUUUCUUCCGCGUCCAGUAAAUCUAUAUCGACGACGAUUCAUCCAUGAGCUCCCUUCAGAAACGGAAUAGAAAUAAAUAACAUACAAAAUCCCGCAAUAACAUCCAGGGAAAAGAUGAACGAACAAAAUGCCCAGGGCCAGGCCCACGCCUAAACGAAUAAUAGCGACGAAAGGAUAUAAAGAGAAGAAUCCAAAAAAGGAAAAAAAAAAAUGAAAAUAAAAGAAUAAAAGAAUAUAAAAGGACAACAUCCUUCUAUCGAAUCACCCA
RNAcentral lists this small RNA (846 nucleotides) under Histoplasma capsulatum var. duboisii H88. RNAcentral's name for it is "Histoplasma capsulatum H88 hypothetical RNA". The record is from RNAcentral. Lineage: Eukaryota; Fungi; Ascomycota; Eurotiomycetes; Onygenales; Ajellomycetaceae.